RNAcentral lists this long non-coding RNA (359 nucleotides) under Homo sapiens (human). Its description in RNAcentral is "HSALNT0355801". The record is from RNAcentral. Lineage: Eukaryota; Metazoa; Chordata; Mammalia; Primates; Hominidae.
AAGGGACCCUGCCUGCAGCUUCCAGAGCCCAGCGGCUGGGCCAUGCGGAGAGGAACGGACUGGCUGGGACCUGGCAUGGGUCCAGUCCUGCCACCACUUUGCUCCUGGACAGGGUCAUCUGUGCCUCUUUUCAUCCGGGCAAAUAAGAUUCGACGAUGCAGGAAUCUCUGGGACUUUGCUCCUAGGACUGCCCGGGAAUCUUGACCCAUCGCUAAGUAAGAUGGUGUUUAUAAACACAGGGGAACCUCUCAAAGGAACAAAAAGCAUUUAUUCACUCAACCUGGGACUUCAACUUUAUGGAAGAAGUAAGAGAAGAAGAGGAAGAAGAGGAAGAAGAAGCGGUGGCGGCGGAGGAGGAA